This 297-nucleotide unclassified non-coding RNA is filed under the name Hevea brasiliensis (rubber tree). The record is from RNAcentral. Lineage: Eukaryota; Viridiplantae; Streptophyta; Magnoliopsida; Malpighiales; Euphorbiaceae.
AAUCUUCUGAUGAAAAAAAUGUUAUUGAAUGCACCACUGGCAGAAUCAGUAACUUGGGCAGCCAGGAAACAGGUUCUCAGAGUUGUUCACUUGCUGCUGUUGGAAGGAACCAAGGAUGUGCAAAUGACAACGAUGAGGAUCAGGCACACAUAAGGUUAAUGGAGGAGCAUUAUCAGGAGAGAGGUUCUGAUAGUGGUUUAAUUGCCCCACAUUCUGAAAAGAAAACAGUUGAUGGCAAAACUAUCGAGGAUAGACUUCAUUCUAGCACAGUAAGUUGCAUGACAAUUGAUGACAGGG